This 2480-nucleotide long non-coding RNA is filed under the name Lepisosteus oculatus (spotted gar). RNAcentral's name for it is "lncRNA (ENSLOCG00000022884.1)". Lineage: Eukaryota; Metazoa; Chordata; Actinopteri; Semionotiformes; Lepisosteidae. The record is from RNAcentral.
UGGGUGCAACAACAAUUUGAGCCCAGUUUUAUGAGAUUUUACUUUAUUUUAUUUUGUGGGAUGUUGAUUAUAUUCUCUCCUAGUUGUGCUUAUGUCCCUGUCUUCGUCCUCCUAAAUAGUGGAAAAUAAAAAUAAAAGCAAAUCCCAGGAAAUCCUGUGCUUUUGAGCUCCAUCACAGAACACACAAGACUUUUCACCUUAAUACUGGUCACACGCACUGCACUGCCUGUAUUGUGACCAAGAACUGCAGAAUAUUAGUGCAAAUAGAACAUUUGUAGCAAGUUAAAAAUGCAAAAUAUUAUUCAAAUUCAAAAACGAGCACAGAUCGUGAAAAGUAUUCAUAAAUUGACAAAUAUGUGACCGAACUGCAAAGCACAUAGAACGAAAUUCAUUUAAUGUCUUAAUUCAAACUUGAAAUUCUUCAGGUUUAAGAUUCACAAUCCUUGCAUGAAAAACUGAUACCCCCUCCUUUAUCAUUUUACAUUUAAGGGUAUCUUUCCUUAUUUCGUUAACUCCAACAUUUCUAAUCAUACAAUCCGAUAUAGACCUUCUUGUAAUGCCAUCACAUUUUACAGACUAGAGAUGUGAACACUUUUUCGGGGGGCUAUUUUAAGAGAGUCUUCCUCUGUGUUGCGGUGUAGAAAAGGGCCUUUCUGCGAUUUUCUUGUGUCAUGUAAAGGGUGAAACAGACGUGGCCGGACCAUUUCUGAAGGACUUCGGCGUCUCCCCGCAGAGCGCGUGCCUGCCUGUUCUUCGUUACCGUGAGCACACCCGUCAUUCCCAUCCGCCACCGCGGUGAGGCGAUUCCGGAGGGCUCGCGCAGCCGGGCGAGCCACAGCCGCCGCCCCCCCCCCGUCAGCGCAUGAACUCCGGGAUUAAAGGAGAAACUUGGACGGCGAUGAGACGCGCACAGAGUGGAGCUCUGCAUUGCAACGCACCCUUCAUUAAAGCACAACAACAACAAAAAUGAGGACAAGAAACGACACAUCCCGCUGUAGACGAAGGGGGAAAGAAAUGUUGACCCCAACCACAACAUUGAAACUAUUGUGUUGCUGAUCCUUAGCAGUAGCAGUGAACACAACUGUCGCCAGAACCUUGUCAGUCCUGGUCAGCUGGGGGAUGCCAGCAGCAGUUUCCGUGGCAACCCAAGCUGCUGCCUUCUGGGAAGAAAGACGAGUGACACAAACCUCUCUUCUGUGAGAAGCUGGCCGUGUUUCAGGGAGGAGGAGAGGAGGAACAGAGUGUUUCAUCCAUCUCCGGGAGAUUUGCAGAAAAGCAAGGAAACACACAGGAUCUUUUACAGACGGGAGCAGCAAACUGUGAAUGCAAAUCAGAGAUACCAGGGAACUGCUCACAGCUGUGGAAUCAGUAUCUGGCGGCUGGAAAGUUCCUGUUUCAUUUCUUCGCUCUCUGCCAUGGAAAACGUACAGCUGCCUUUCUCAGUGCACAGCUUGGAAAGAACGCUACCCAAAGCCCAUAAUCCACAAAUGGUAGGCCAGUUUUGCAUCUCGGUAGUGUGCGAUUGCCUGAGUACAGGGGACCUGGACUGACGUCCCGGCUAAGGCCUGCAGCAGCAGAUUAGUGUGACGGAGCCCCUGGAGAGACUGGAUCUGGCUCUCUUGAGUUAGUCACUGUGUUGUGUGUCUGGGUAGUGCAGCACAAUUGUCAUGCUGCUGUACUGCUUGAAAUAGGACGUCUGCUGGACCAGAAGAGGAGACAGCGAUGGCUGUGCUCUCAGGUAAACUGCUGCAGCCUCCACUAGAAAUGUAAAAAAAUUCUAAAACAACUUAGUUUGGGUGAGGAACAAAUAACCAUGUCAAUAAGCAAUCUUUAAUUCACAUUCAACAAUAUUCAAAAGCCUGGCCCUUGCAAUGUAAUGUAACUUACGCACUACCAAUCUACCAAUCUGAAGGGAUGUAGUAUCUAAUGUGUUACUUUUACAAGUCAAAUCUAAUUAGUUAAGCACAUUCCUAACAAAAAUUAUGAAUGAGAGAAGGUUAUUCAUUAGAAUUGUUUGGUUGCUUCUUUUUUAAGGAUGUCAUCCAGUUGUUUUUUGAAAGAAGCCGGGGUAUCAGCUUCAACAACAAGGUUGCAUAGCUUGUUCCACACUCCCACACCCCUUUGUGUAAUGAUGUGUUUCCUGUUUUUUCAAGGCGAUGUAAUUAUAUUACUUGUGCUUUCCACUUCUGUCCCCUGGUUUGCAUUUCACUGUUUAUUCUGUAGAAGUUUGUAAGUGUGACUUUCAAUGCUUUUGAGGAUUAUGAAUACUUUAAUCAGGUCUCCUUGUAAUCCCUUUUAUUCAAGACUAAAAUUCUGCCUAGGGCAUGUCUUUAAGCCCAGGAAUGUGUUUUGUUGCCCUUAUCAGGAAUGAGUCCAGAGCCGCAAAAUGUUUUGGUAAUGUGGUGAUUGAGGUCUUAUUAUCGCCUUGCAGAAUUUAAAACAGAAUCCCCCUCAUUUUAAAUUCUGCGCUGGACAACUGG